This 405-nucleotide long non-coding RNA is filed under the name Homo sapiens (human). RNAcentral's name for it is "HSALNT0388012". The record is from RNAcentral. Lineage: Eukaryota; Metazoa; Chordata; Mammalia; Primates; Hominidae.
AAGUAGGCCUGAGUCAGUGAAGAGCUUUGGAGGGCGGGACUGAAUGGGGGUUAAUCAGAGGAUGCGAUUGCUGACCCUUUGCACUUUGGCAUGGCCCAUCCCCUAAUUUCUGACCAGAAGCCCUCCCUCUACCCUAAGCUCGUGCGUCACGACGCCGCCAGCUGAUCGGAGCCUGGAGCCGGUGUGUGCUGGGUGCCGAGAAGAGACAGCGCCGCCGGCCGUGGGGAGCGGACGCAGUGAUUUGCUCCCCCUCGUGCAGCAACCCCCACACCCAGCACCAGGCCCCCAGAACUCUCCUUCCAGCUGAACUCCCUGGGAACAAGUCAGUUGGGCUGAUCACUGAACUCACAUUUCUGGACCUGAGGAGCCUGUUCCUCUCACGCCCUCACCUGGCUGAGCCGCAGU